UCAAUCCACUACAUUUCCUGGAUCUCCGAUGAGUUCCUCAGGCUCCUCCUUCUUCCUCUGCGCUGGUUUCUAAUUAAUCUUCCACAGUUGUAGCUGCCCUGACAGCGGGUCGUUUACAUUCCUCUAAGGCAGCGGCAGUAGCUGUGCGUUUGAAACUGGGUCGCUAGAGAAGAUACUAUGGAGACGUGUUUUCUUCUCAGCAUUUGGAUAUUCAGUCUCCUAGGCUCUGCGUUGGGAGACUCGGUCAAAUCCAAGGAACUCGAAGUAUCGGGAUCAGUUGGAGAUUCUGUAACACUCAGCUGUUCUUACACCACCAGCGAUACCUAUGUCUACCUCUGUUGGUACCGUCAGUAUCCGAACCAAGCACCGCAGUACAUUCUCUAUAGAGGAGCGAAAUCCUACAGCGGCCGCAGCCACACUGCACGUUUUGCACAGCAGAGGUUUUCUUCCCAGACUGCAGACAGCUCCACAGUUCUGAAUAUCGCAGCCCUGGAACUGGCGGACAGUGCGGUGUAUCACUGCGCCCUUGUGGAGAGCACAGUGACAGAGCCACAUAGCAGAACCACAAGAGCUCUCUCCUCCCAGGUGGAGGACAGGAGCUGCCGCCUGCGUGACUGUCCUAGGCGGGCUGGAGAGAAAAGCGGCAGUGCUCUGCAGAAAAGACAAGCUGCUGAAGUGAUGGCCACAGUCCGAGAUGCUGGGUGA
This is a non-coding RNA of Chelonoidis abingdonii (Abingdon island giant tortoise), 705 nucleotides long. The record is from the annotation of a RefSeq genome assembly. NCBI's taxonomy places the organism in Eukaryota, Metazoa, Chordata, Testudines, Testudinidae.